CGGCGUGCCUAAUACAUGCAAGUCGAACGGUCUUUCUAUGGAAGCUUGCUUCCACUGAGAAGAUAGUGGCGAACGGGUGAGUAACACGUGGGUAACCUGCCCAUAAGAGGGGGAUAACAUCCGGAAACGGGUGCUAAUACCGCAUAGUUUUCUUGAUCGCAUGAUUGAGAAAGGAAAGAUGGCCUUUGUGCUGUCGCUUAUGGAUGGACCCGCGGCGUAUUAGUUAGUUGGUGAGGUAACGGCUCACCAAGACGAUGAUACGUAGCCGACCUGAGAGGGUGAUCGGCCACAUUGGGACUGAGACACGGCCCAAACUCCUACGGGAGGCAGCAGUAGGGAAUCUUCCGCAAUGGACGAAAGUCUGACGGAGCAACGCCGCGUGAGUGAAGAAAGGUUUUCGGAUCGUAAAACUCUGUUGUCAGAGAAGAACAAGUUGGAGAGUAACUGCUCCAGCCUUGACGGUAUCUGACCAGAAAGCCACGGCUAACUACGUGCCAGCCGCCGC
Molecule: ribosomal RNA, 505 nt
Filed under: uncultured bacterium
Lineage: Bacteria
Description: bacterial SSU rRNA
Rfam family: Bacterial small subunit ribosomal RNA
Source: RNAcentral